This 909-nucleotide ribosomal RNA is filed under the name Pestalotiopsis funereoides. RNAcentral describes it as "LSU rRNA". It matches the Rfam family "Eukaryotic large subunit ribosomal RNA", at positions 38 to 965 of the family's 3401-position model. Lineage: Eukaryota; Fungi; Ascomycota; Sordariomycetes; Amphisphaeriales; Sporocadaceae. The record is from RNAcentral.
GCAUAUCAAUAAGCGGAGGAAAAAAGAAAACCCAACAGGGAUUGGCCUUAGUAACGGCGAGUGAAGCGGCAACAGCUCAAAUUUGAAAUCUGGCCCUCGGGUCCGAAUUGUAAUUUGUAGAGGAUGAUUUUGGUGCGGUAUCUUCCGAGUUCCUUGGAACAGGACGCCUUAGAGGGUGAGAGCCCCGUACGGGUUGAAUGCCUAGCCUCUGUAAAUCUCCUUCGACGAGUCGAGUAGUUUGGGAAUGCUGCUCUAAAUGGGAGGUAAAUUUCUUCUAAAGCUAAAUAUUGGCCAGAGACCGAUAGCGCACAAGUAGAGUGAUCGAAAGAUGAAAAGCACUUUGAAAAGAGGGUUAAAUAGCACGUGAAAUUGUUGAAAGGGAAGGAUUUGUGACCAGACUUUUUCUGGGCGGAUCAUCCGGGGUUCUCUCCGGUGCACUUUGCCCAGUAAAGGCCAGCAUCGAUUUUCGGCGGCGGAUAAAAGCAGUGGGAAUGUGGCUCCCCACGGGGAGUGUUAUAGCCCAUUGUAUAAUACGCUGCUGGGGAUCGAGGUACGCGCUUCUGCAAGGAUGCUGGCGUAAUGGUUAUCAAUCACCCGUCUUGAAACACGGACCAAGGAGUCGAACAUUUAUGCGAGUGUUUGGGUGUUAAACCCUCACGCGUAAUGAAAGUGAACGGAGGUGAGAGCCCGUACGGGUGCAUCAUCGACCGAUCCUGAAGUUUUCGGAUGGAUUUGAGUAAGAGCAUAACUGUUCGGACCCGAAAGAUGGUGAACUAUGCGUGGAUAGGGUGAAGCCAGAGGAAACUCUGGUGGAGGCUCGCAGCGGUUCUGACGUGCAAAUCGAUCGUCAAAUCUGCGCAUGGGGCGAAAGACUAAAUCGAACCAUCUAGUAGCUGGGUUACCGCCGAA